UUCCUGAAGCUGACCUAGGUCUGACCUUUCUUGUCCUAGGCCUUGAGAUUAUGUGACUUCCUGCAACCUGGGCCUAAAGCUCAACCUUCUGGCCCCGCAGGCUUCUGGGAACAGGGGUCAUGUGACUUAGGCCUAAGGUCUGACCUACUUUAUCUCAUAGUCUUUUUGAGAAAACUUCACAGGUUUGGGCAGCAGGAAGAACUGGGCAAGGCUGCGAAUGCCAGGAUGCGCAAUGUGGGGCGUUAUUCAUCAAAGAGGAUCUGAAAUGAAUGACAAAUGCAUGGAUUACAGGCAGAGCGCUGCAGAUGGGGAAACAGAAGACUAGGGAACCCAACUUUCUGAUUUGCCAGGGUUAUACAGGAAUCACUUUACUACCUUCACCACCAGACCUAACUGGAGACAGCCCAGCUCUCCAAGGCUAAGGGACCUGCUAACAACUGCAUCCCUGCAUCCCCACAGACCAUAUGGCCAGUAUCCAGUCAUCACUGAGGGCAUCAUGAGGAGAAGCAAGGCUCUGGAAGCAAUGCAGACUCUGACCCCUCAGCCAUCAGAGCUAUUGAAAAUGUGGGGGACUCUGAACAUCAAACUCCCUGGGCCUGUCAAAUGGUGGAUUAUCUGAAAUAGAUGUUAAUUUUGUCAGCAAAAGUAACUGUAUAGAAGAGGCUUUGCUAUGUUAUCCUAAGAACCGUGGGGCUCUUUUAUUUGAGUUGCAAAUGAAACCUCUUAUUUCAGUUGUCUCCUCCUAUUUAAUAGCUCCUAAUCUAUCUGUCUCCUGUAUCUUUUGGGAAGUCUAGAGAUGCCUAUGGACCUCUUCUUAGAAGAACGUUUCUAAAUGCAGAAAUCAAAUAUAAAUCAAACAUAGGAUAAUAAAGGA
Long non-coding RNA from Sarcophilus harrisii (Tasmanian devil), 874 nucleotides. RefSeq lists it as uncharacterized. Lineage: Eukaryota; Metazoa; Chordata; Mammalia; Dasyuromorphia; Dasyuridae. The record is from RefSeq and is a predicted model, not a curated record. The transcript has 3 exons.